This 735-nucleotide long non-coding RNA is filed under the name Felis catus (domestic cat). RNAcentral's name for it is "lncRNA (ENSFCAG00000052562.1)". The record is from RNAcentral. Lineage: Eukaryota; Metazoa; Chordata; Mammalia; Carnivora; Felidae.
GGAACCUGGCAGCAAAGGUUCUUGGGAGGUUCUCAUCUGGUGCUGGAGAUGAUUGGCUCCCCCAGUCGGUGAGGAAGGGAUCCUCCUGACCCAGCACCUAGACCAACCUCUGUUGGAAGAGACGGAGCUUAAGAGGCAUCCUGUCCUCACCCACAAUCAUGGUGCUAAUCAAAAGUGACCUUUAGGAUGAUCCACUGGCUUUGGAACAACUGCCUGGGACAUUUCCUUCCAGUAUCAGGUAUCUGUCUCCAGCAAACCUGUGCAAGUUGAGUAUCACCAUCUGGUCCUGGAUGCAUUUUGUUAUCAGUGCUGGAAGUGAUGAUACGGUAUGCCGCUGUCAUGUGCCCAGAGGAUGUAGGGGCCAGAGAGGACACUCAGCAGAAGUUUCUGGCUCACCCACCGGAGAGGCUAAAGCUUGCCUGGAAUUAUAUUGCUUACAGAAUAAAGAGAAGUCAGAGCCUCUUAUGUAACUUGAAGAGUAGGAAAGAUCCAGUGAUAAAAACCAGCGCCCUGAACUUUUGCAAAGCACGAUCAAUCGCUGCGUACGAUCCUCCGGUCCUUGGCAAGAUCAUGAACUGGGAGCUGUGUGGAAAGACAACCGGAUUGGGAGCUAGUGUCCUGCCCUGGGUUUCUUCCAGGUGGCCCUACCACCCGUCAGCUGUCUGGUCUUGGGAGUCCAAGCGGGAGACGGGCAGAGAAAGGAGGACAGAGGAUCUGAAGCGGGCUCUGCGCUGA